Ornithorhynchus anatinus (platypus) is the source of this 1348-nucleotide long non-coding RNA. RefSeq lists it as uncharacterized. NCBI's taxonomy places the organism in Eukaryota, Metazoa, Chordata, Mammalia, Monotremata, Ornithorhynchidae. The record is from RefSeq and is a predicted model, not a curated record. The transcript is spliced from 2 exons.
GUCAGAAGCCCAGGCUGCCAGAACCAGAGACUGGAGAAGGGGAGAGAAGCUUCACUCUCCUCUCCAUUCAUCAUGCCUCCCCCGCCCACCACCACCACCACCAAAAUACGACCAACUUGAAGCCUCAGAUCCAGCAAGAUGUCAGUUUCCUCAUCCAUAAAAUGGGAAUUAAAUACCUAGUCUUCUUGACCUUUACUGUGAGCCCAUGUAGGAUAGGGACUGAGUGUGGGCCAUCUGGAGGGCAAGCUCACUUUUCCUUCAAAGUGGUUCUGUGCCAUAAGAAUCCUGUGGGCCCAAUUUUUAGGUUCCAUGGAUGACCGGAGAUGCAGCAAUAACAAGAGAGAGGAAGAUCUCACUAUGACACAGCUGUGUUGGGGCAGUUGAACUCCUUGCACCAAAACAAGGCUUAUGGAGGAUAUUGUGCAAUGGCAGCCGAAGGAGAUGAAGCAGACUGGAGAUGAAAUUAACUGGAAGCAUCUCAGAGUAUACUUUGAUACCCACAUGGAAUCAAGCGGCUUCAGCAAAAAAAAGAAGAGGCUCCUCCUUCACCUCCUUCAACAAGCACCUCUCAUAAUUCCCCACACACAGCCGUCUUCCUCCCGCAAGAAUUUGUAGACUUGCCACCUCAGAGCACUUCAUUAGUACCACAGUUACUGUUAAAAGCCAUCUGCAGAUGUUUCUGUUCUCUCAGGCCUCACCAUAUGACCCCACGAAACAACAUUCCUGGAUCAGGCAUCAGUGGUCCACCCAAUCCAGAAUUCCAGCAGUGGCAGGAGGAAGCUUGCAGGGACUAUAUGCUGGGUCCCAUCCUGCACCUCCAUCCUCAUGAUUAGGAGAUGAACCAUCCAACACCUCCAACUUUCCCUUCUAUAUUUUCAACUUUCCUCCGUAACUCAUUAUGGACCAUUCAUGCAUCAGCUAUCCCAAACUCCUCCUAUAGCUCCUGAUAUUUUCUGACCAUAUACCAUCCUGUGAUUACAGAUAUCAUAUUCUUAUCACACCCUAUGUGAAGAAGUGUUUGUAACAGAAACGCAGCUGUCUUGGGAGAACUGGUGAGCAUCUCCAAAUAUUGGGGAUUUAAAUAUGCUUUCUGGUUCAUUUCAAACAUUUGUUUGGAGGAGCACGAUGCAGGCUUUUGUCUAAUUCAUUCACAAAUCUGAAUCUGAAGUGCUGUUGGAGGAGAUAAUCCAGGUGCCUUCUGAGCCUUUUAUUUGUUAAAUUUUCCCUUGGAGGGUCAUGUUAAGUUAAAAGCAAAGACCUCACUUGCAAAACAUUUGGUUUUGGUUCAAAACCUGGGACAUACAAGGCUUGGUUCAACAAUAAAACCUGUUCUUUGUUUUUACAUGUC